Molecule: transfer RNA, 68 nt
Filed under: Ailuronyx tachyscopaeus
Lineage: Eukaryota; Metazoa; Chordata; Lepidosauria; Squamata; Gekkonidae
Description: tRNA-Ala
Rfam family: tRNA
About the family: Transfer RNA (tRNA) molecules are approximately 80 nucleotides in length. Their secondary structure includes four short double-helical elements and three loops (D, anti-codon, and T loops).
Source: RNAcentral
GAGGUCUUAGCUUAAUUAAAGUGCCUGGGUUGCAAUCAGGUGAUGUAUAUUAAAAUUUUACAGGCCUU